RNAcentral lists this transfer RNA (69 nucleotides) under Comanthus sp. 2 MS-2014. Its description in RNAcentral is "tRNA-Ala". It matches the Rfam family "tRNA". Rfam says of the family: Transfer RNA (tRNA) molecules are approximately 80 nucleotides in length. Their secondary structure includes four short double-helical elements and three loops (D, anti-codon, and T loops). The record is from RNAcentral. Lineage: Eukaryota; Metazoa; Echinodermata; Crinoidea; Comatulida; Comatulidae.
GUGAAUGUAAUUUUAAAAAAAUAUUUGCUUUGCAAGCAAAACAUCUAGGUUCAAUUCCUAGCUUUUACA